UACGGAGGGUGCAAGCGUUGUCCGGAAUCACUGGGCGUAAAGGGCGCGUAGGCGGCUCAUGAAGGCUGUGGUGAAAGUCCGGGGCUCAACCUCGGAUCGGCCGUGGCGACUCGUGGGCUGGAGCACUGUAGAGGCGGGUGGAAUUCCGGGUGUAGCGGUGGAAUGCGUAGAGAUCCGGAAGAACACCAGUGGCGAAGGCGGCCCGCUGGGCAGUGGCUGACGCUGAGGCGCGACAGCGUGGGGAGCGAACAGG
This 253-nucleotide ribosomal RNA is filed under the name uncultured bacterium. RNAcentral's name for it is "partial 16S ribosomal RNA". It matches the Rfam family "Bacterial small subunit ribosomal RNA", at positions 524 to 776 of the family's 1533-position model. The record is from RNAcentral.